This 569-nucleotide ribosomal RNA is filed under the name uncultured Ruminococcus sp. Its description in RNAcentral is "bacterial SSU rRNA". It matches the Rfam family "Bacterial small subunit ribosomal RNA", at positions 28 to 596 of the family's 1533-position model. The record is from RNAcentral. Lineage: Bacteria; Bacillati; Bacillota; Clostridia; Eubacteriales; Oscillospiraceae.
GAUGAACGCUGGCGGCGUGCUUAACACAUGCCAUGUCGAACGAAGCACCUUGAUUUGAUUCUUCGGAUGAAGAUCUUGGUGACUGAGUGGCGGACGGGUGAGUAACGCGUGGGUAACCUGCCUCAUACAGGGGGAUAACAGUUAGAAAUGACUGCUAAUACCGCAUAAGACCACAGCACCGCAUGGUGCAGGGGUAAAAACUCCGGUGGUAUGAGAUGGACCCGCGUCUGAUUAGGUAGUUGGUGGGGUAACGGCCUACCAAGCCGACGAUCAGUAGCCGACCUGAGAGGGUGACCGGCCACAUUGGGACUGAGACACGGCCCAAACUCCUACGGGAGGCAGCAGUGGGGAAUAUUGCACAAUGGGGGAAACCCUGAUGCAGCGACGCCGCGUGAGCGAUGAAGUAUUUCGGUAUGUAAAGCUCUAUCAGCAGGGAAGAAAAUGACGGUACCUGACUAAGAAGCACCGGCUAAAUACGUGCCAGCAGCCGCGGUAAUACGUAUGGUGCAAGCGUUAUCCGGAUUUACUGGGUGUAAAGGGAGCGUAGACGGAGUGGCAAGUCUGAUGUG